Molecule: transfer RNA, 63 nt
Filed under: Rattus norvegicus (Norway rat)
Lineage: Eukaryota; Metazoa; Chordata; Mammalia; Rodentia; Muridae
Rfam family: tRNA
About the family: Transfer RNA (tRNA) molecules are approximately 80 nucleotides in length.
Source: Rfam by way of RNAcentral
GGGGAUUUAGCUCAGUGGUAGAGCGCUUGCCUAGCAUGUGCAAGGCCCUGAGUUCAGUCCCCA